UAUCUUUAUUCAAGAUUCAAAAUGCCACUUUAUAUGUUUUGAAUGUGUUUACUAAUACUCUUGAAAGAUUACCCAAUUUUCCUGAUGGUUUAGUAUUUGCUAGUAUGAAUUAUGUGAAACUUUUUGAGGAAUAUUCGAUAUAUUGUGCACAAUAUGUGCUGGGCGUAAUGCAAUAUUGUCAGUAUCAUUCAGAGGAUGGUGAAUGGGGUCAGAUAGUAGUAGGAAUUCGGGCUGGAGAGGAUGACAACCUCAUCACGGACGAUCCUAGAAACCUAGUUUUAAUUACCAAACCCUUCACUUAUCUAGUGUCUUUCCCGUAUGUGGCUGCGUUUCCUGUCUUCAAAGAGCAUGAUACUUGUAUCUUGUUGAAUUAUGGGCUUCAUAUUAUUCAACCGCCUUUUGUUCCGGGUUGGCACACUACUGGGCUGGAAGUCGGGUAUCUAGCUUUUAUUUGUAAAAACGAUAACCUCCCCAACCACCCGAAUUUAAGUGUCAAGUUGUGCUAUUCCAUAUUAGUGAAGAUUGGUCGGAGUAUGAUUUGGAGUCAACUUGUCCCGUGCAACACUUACCUGACCAAGAGUUCAAUCUCGUUCAAGGACAUGGAUUAGAGAUCAUAGAGGGGAAGGUCAACCUGACGCUUUCAAUAUUCGAGGAGGGUAUUGGUUUCGGCUAUUUGUUAUUUUCGUAUGACCUCCACACCAGGAACUGGGAAGAUUUCAGAAUUCCCCUUGCUGGCCAGUUCAGUGUUGUUAAACCCAUGUUUACACCAUCCCUGACGAUCAAGCCCGUGCCCCUUCUUCCUUGAGAAUAAAGAAUCUUAUGAAGUGGAUGGACCGAUGGAGUGAAAUGGCACAAGUUUCAAAGUUGAAAGUGAGGGGCUUAAGAGGGUGCGUCUGAAGACUUAUUUGGCUAUAUAUACGCACUCUUUGUUCUCCUAGGUUUCCUGAACAUUCUCUUUGAUUUUCCUGUUGUUGUCUCAUCAAUAUCAUGCCUUAUGGCAUCCUCCUUUUGUUUUCAUAUUUUGAGAGUUUGUUCCAGAUUAUAUUCGUAGUAGUCUUAUGGUUAGUUUCUUAUUAAAACCUUUUUAUGUAUUGAAAUCUUUUAUCUACCUAGAUCUACCUCUAUAUAUAUGUCUAAGUAACUGGGUGUUA
Molecule: long non-coding RNA, 1151 nt
Organism: Erigeron canadensis
Lineage: Eukaryota; Viridiplantae; Streptophyta; Magnoliopsida; Asterales; Asteraceae
Exons: 2
Source: RefSeq, a predicted model, not a curated record